Molecule: unclassified non-coding RNA, 391 nt
Filed under: soil metagenome
Description: partial contains 5.8S ribosomal RNA, internal transcribed spacer 2, and large subunit ribosomal RNA
Rfam family: 5.8S ribosomal RNA (bases 1-122)
Source: RNAcentral
GAUGAAGAACGUAGCGAAAUGCGAUACUUGGUGUGAAUUGCAGAAUCCCGUGAACCAUCGAGUCUUUGAACGCAAGUUGCGCCCGAAGCCAUUAGGCCGAGGGCACGCCUGCCUGGGCGUCACACGUCGUUGCCCCCCCAUCUACUCCUUCGGGAUUGCGGGGGGCGGAUGAUGGCCUCCCGUGCGCCUCGCCGCGCGGUUGGCAUAAAUGCCAAGUCCUCGGCGACGCACGCCACGACAAUCGGUGGUUGCGAAACCUCGGUCGCCCGUCGUGUGCGGUCGUCGCGCAUCGAGGGCUCGAAAAAAUUGCCGGGUUCCGGCUCGGCUUUCAACGCGACCCCAGGUCAGGCGGGGUUACCCGCUGAAUUUAAGCAUAUCAAUAAGCGGAGGA